GGGCCGUUAGCUCAGUUGGUAGAGCAUCUGACUUUUAAUCAGGUGGUCGCGCGUUCGAAUCGCGCACGGCCCACCA
Molecule: transfer RNA, 76 nt
Filed under: Arenicella chitinivorans
Lineage: Bacteria; Pseudomonadati; Pseudomonadota; Gammaproteobacteria; Arenicellales; Arenicellaceae
Also listed under: 4 other names
Description: tRNA-Lys
Rfam family: tRNA
About the family: Transfer RNA (tRNA) molecules are approximately 80 nucleotides in length.
Source: RNAcentral